Salmo salar (Atlantic salmon) is the source of this 4116-nucleotide non-coding RNA. Lineage: Eukaryota; Metazoa; Chordata; Actinopteri; Salmoniformes; Salmonidae. The record is from RefSeq and is a predicted model, not a curated record.
CGAUAUCUGUCAGCGAGAGUACAGGGGAGUAAAUAUUCUCCAGUUAUUUUGCAAUGAGGGAAGGCCUGCACUGCCUGAACAUUCAAACUAGUUAAAUACUUUUACAGUCAACAAAUUAUCUUUCCCCCUCCUUUGUAUUGCAAAGAAUUUCAACAACAACAAAAAACCAAGAAACACAGUCAAGACAAAAUAGCCAGCUACAACAAGUCGUCGGGCCUUUGUGUUGAGUUAGUCAUGCAGGUUUGAGAGAGAAGGCGGUAACUAACAGCUAACGUUAGCUCGGACAUAACAGUAUCUCGUCGUUAAGAAACGGAGCCGUUACCGACGGACAAUUAACUCUGGCUACUGAACGGAAGACAAGUUGACCGGUGUCUCAACACAAAAAAAAAUGAUCAUUGAAAACUUAGAUUCCUUGAAAACGUGGCUUUUCAAAACACUCGAACCCAUUUGUGAUGCAGAUCCUUCUGCCCUCGCUAAAUACGUCGUUGCCUUGGUGAAGAAAGACAAAAGUGAGACUGAACUCAAAGCCCUGUGUAUCGACCAGUUGGAUGUAUUUCUACAGAAAGAGACGCAGACCUUUGUCGAUAGAUUGUUUGAAGCUGUCAACUCCAAAAGCUACCUACCUCAUCAGCAGCAGGACCAUCAGCCAGCGUCCGCGGCCAAAACGGAGCUACACCUGACCAGGACGGACAAAGACGACCAGAGGAAAGAUGAGCCAAGUCGUGAUGAGGACCGGGACAAGAAGUUCUCCAGGAGAGUAAACUACAGCCCCCCAUCCAGCUCCCGCUACAGCAGAGACGGCAGACGAGGGGACGACCGUAAAAGGGACGACCGUACCAGGAAGCGAACGAUUACGACCGCAUCCCCCCGAGACGGGACUCGUGCACGGGACCGUUACAACCGGAGGAGGGGUCGUAGCCGCAGUAGGAGCAGGAGCAAGGAUCGGGCCAGGGACCGGGAGAGAGACAGAGACCGCAGUAGUAGGAGUCACAGCAGGAGCCACUCCAAGAGCAGAGAGCGGGAUGCUGGGAAGUCAAAGUAUGAGCCCGACCGAGGAGACCGGGGGACGGAGGUUGGAGCUGGUGAAGGCCUUCUGCCGAUCCCCACGGCAACCACCACGUUCCCCCGUGCCGACCCUCAGCAGCACCAUCACGGUGAUCGCCCCUCAGGGUAACCACAGCAACAGCGUCACCUCGGUGACGGACAGCUGGUCGGACUUCCACCCGGAUCACUCACUGGACCGGCCCCUUCCGCCACCGCCCUUCAACCGUGGUCCGCCCCCUCAGCAAAGAAACGUUGCCGUGACUACGACGAGAAGGGUUUCUGUAUGCGCGGAGACAUUUGCCCGUUCGACCACGGUAUCGAUCCGGUGGUGGUGGAGGACGUUAAUCUACCCAACAUGUUCCAAGCCCCUCCCCUAUCCCGGGGGUCGCCCAGCCCCCCUCCCGGCCUACCGCCCCCUCCAGGACCUCCCCUCUCAUGACCCCACCGCCCGUCAACCUCCGGUCCCCCGGGGCCCCUGCCAGGCAGCCUGCCACCCAGCCUGCCACCCAGCCUGCCACCAGGUCCCCCUCUCCAGGCUCCAGGGAUGGACGCUCCUCCUAAUUCCAUCACCAGCUCUGUUCCCACUAUUGUAACCACAGGGACAAGGCCCUCCAUUCCCCAGCCCCCACUUCCUCUCUUCUCACCAGACCAGUAUGACUCUGACAUGUAUAACCCUGAAGCUCCCAGCCUCACCAACACCUCCAGACCUGUAUAUCGCCACAGAGUCAACGCCCAAAGACCCAACCUCAUAGGACUGACUAUGGGGAGGACCUACCUCACAGAGACAGAGGUACACAACCUGUCUGGAUUCAGAGGGAAAGAUCAGAUGCCCAACAGCAACAGAAUGAGGAUCGUUCUGGACUCAGCCUCCAGGAAGAGAUCUGCUGUCUCACACCUCGGAGCGAUGCCCCUCAAGAAACCCUGGUCCGACAAACCCAACUUCAACCAGCAGAACCUCCAGGGUGGGUUCCACAACAAGAACCCUCAGAACCAGAAGGCUCAGCUUGGGUCUAACACCAAGCUGGCGGUCCGACAGAUCCCCCAGGGACUCAACAACAUCUCCAAGCUUAACGAACACUUCAGCAAGUUCGGGACUAUCGUCAACCUACAGGUAACCUAUGGUAAUGACCCGGAGGGGGCGCUGAUCCAGUUUGACAGUCACGAGGAGGCUAAGCGUGCCCUGCAGAGUCCAGAAGCCGUUCUCAACAACCGCUUCAUUAGAGUCCUCUGGCACUGUGAUGGCGGGACGGGACCCCAGGGGACGGGACCCCAGGGGACGGGACCCCAGGGGACGGGACCCCAGGGACAGCAACACCAUCAACCACAGUCACUCAUGCAGGUACAGCAGCCAGCCACUAGUCUGAAACAGUCAGUCAAAGACCGUCUGGGCCCUCUGCCUGCCGACAGCUCAGAGCCCAACCAAGACUCUAGUGUUGCCUCUCAGAAUGCCUUUAAAUCCAACCUAUCAGUGAAGGAGAGGCUGGGCUUCGCUUCUAAACCAGGAAGUACCCCUAGUGGACCGGCAGGAAAGGUGUUCUCCACCUAUACGGGGCUGACUAAGACAGUGUACAACAUGGCUGCUCUGAAAGCAGCUCAGAAGACAGCUCUGUUCGCUGGGGUCGCUGCUACAGAGGAGGCUAUGAAGAAUAAACAGGAAGCCCUGCGGCUCCAACAGGAAAUGAGGAAAAAGAAGCAGGAAAUCCUUGAGAAACACAUCGAGACUCAGAAGCUGUUGAUCUGUAAACUGGAAAAGAACAAGACUAUGAAGGCAGAAGACAAGGCAGUGAUUAUGACAACGCUGGGAACGCUCACCAAGAGUAUUACAAAACUACAGCAGGAGAUUAAAGGGAUUUCUAACCCUUCAGGACUACGGGGGGCGCCCAAGAGCAAGGCUCAGGCUCAGAAGGAGUUGCUGGACACAGAACUGGACCUCUAUAAGAAGACCCAGUCUGGAGAAGAUACCGUUCAACUGAAGAUCAGAUACACACAGCUACAGUUAGAGGCAGCUAAGAGGGGGAUCCUGGCUCCAGGGCGGGCAGAGGGGCCCACGCUAGAGGCCGUGGGGACCCGAGGAGCAGGGGUAGGGGUAGGGGAGGCCGGGGUAGGGGUCUCCCUGUCCACUCUACAGUAGAUCACAGACCUAGAGCCCUGGAGAUCUCUGGCUUUACUGAGACUGACCUCCAGGAUCUGCUGCCACACUUUGCUCAAUUUGGAGAGUUGGAGGACUGUCAGAUCGAUGAGACAUCCUGUCUGGCUGUUAUCACUUACAGGAGUAGACCAGAGGCUGAACAGGCGGCGCUACACGGUGUUCGUCUGAACAGCUGUGACCUGCGUCUGUCCUGGCACAAGCCUGCCGUCUCCCUGACCUCCCAGGAACCUGAUGAGCAGGAGCCAGAUCAUGACGAGUUCCAGGAAGAGUCGCUGAUUGAUGAUGUGUUGCUCCAGGACGACGACGAGGAGGAGGAUGACGACAACGAACCCCGCCCCUGGCGCAGAUGAAGACGGCCCUGAUUGGACGGAAAUGCUAACGCGACUUUAUUUUUUUUUGCUGUUUCUGAUUGGCUGUUUUUUUUUUUUAACUACUAGACGCAUUUCACAAUAGGUCAGAACCUAAACAGUAAAGUCAUGUGGGAGUUUCAUGUAAAUAUAGUGUGUUUUUUUUCUUCCUGCUUUUUAUGUGUAAAAGUAGUUUAACAUGAAGAUUGGUACAGUUUUUAUUUUUUGCUUAUUGGGUUGAAAUGAAAUGAUACUAGAUUACUUUAGGGAAAGAAACCUGGUGUUGACUGAUCAGAUCAAAUGAUUUUCGAUGAAGAGCUGUUGUAUUGAACACUGCGAUGUUUAACAGUGAGAACGGCAGAAUGGUGAACUUACUAAAUGAAAUGAGAGUUUGACUGUGUGAUAAUAGGUUGCUUCUUGCGUAAAUAUUUUCUGUCUGGAUUUUAAUGAUUUGUAUGACAGCUUUGCUUCGGGAUUCUUUCUUGGAUUUAUUUUUGAAAUGUCAAAACAAAAAAUAAAGACUUCAAAUGGUCAAAAAAAAAAUAAAAAAUCAGCUCCCACCCCCCCCCAAAAAAA